This 769-nucleotide ribosomal RNA is filed under the name uncultured bacterium. Its description in RNAcentral is "bacterial SSU rRNA". It matches the Rfam family "Bacterial small subunit ribosomal RNA", at positions 28 to 785 of the family's 1533-position model. The record is from RNAcentral.
GAUGAACGCUAGCUACCGGUUUAACACAUGCAAGUCGAGGGGCAGCGGGAUUGAAGCUUGCUUCAAUUGCCGGCGACCGGCGCACGGGUGAGUAACGCGUAUCCAACCUUCCGCUUACUCGGGGAUAGCCUUUCGAAAGAAAGAUUAAUACCCGAUGGUAUCUUAAGCACGCAUGAGAUUAAGAUUAAAGAUUUAUCGGUAAGCGAUGGGGAUGCGUUCCAUUAGGCAGUUGGCGGGGUAACGGCCCACCAAACCUACGAUGGAUAGGGGUUCUGAGAGGAAGGUCCCCCACAUUGGAACUGAGACACGGUCCAAACUCCUACGGGAGGCAGCAGUGAGGAAUAUUGGUCAAUGGGCGAGAGCCUGAACCAGCCAAGUAGCGUGAAGGAUGACGGCCCUACGGGUUGUAAACUUCUUUUGUGCGGGAAUAAAGGAACCUACGUGUAGGUUUUUGCAUGUACCGUAACGAAUAAGCAUCGGCUAACUCCGUGCCAGCAGCCGCGGUAAUACGGAGGAUGCGAGCGUUAUCCGGAUUUAUUGGGUUUAAAGGGAGCGUAGACGGGUUUUUAAGUCAGCUGUGAAAGUUUGGGGCUCAACCUUAAAAUUGCAGUUGAAACUGGAGACCUUGAGUACGGUUGAGGCAGGCGGAAUUCGUGGUGUAGCGGUGAAAUGCUUAGAUAUCACGAAGAACCCCGAUUGCGAAGGCAGCCUGCUAAGCCGCCACUGACGUUGAGGCUCGAAAGUGCGGGUAUCAAACAGGAUUAGAUAU